GGUGACAUACGCCUACCGUCCUUCACAGGGUUUGCUUGGGCUGUUACAAGGAGGGGCUGGGCCGAGUGAAACGAAGCCUCAGUUUUUACUUUUCUGCGUGCACCUCGUGUUUUGUUUUCACAGCUGAACCCUUGCGUAUGUAUGUCCGCUUAACUGCUAAAGGUAAACAGCUUUUGGCAAGUUGAUUAGCUGAUCAACAAACAAGGUUACGAGAAGCUUUCGUCGAGAAUUAAAAAAGAAAAAAAUUCUUGCGGCGCCAGCAUGCGGACGUCAUUUACGUUGCUUGUGUGUUGCCACACGUUGGAAAUUUACGUUCCGGCGACUACGCGGUAAAGUUCGCCAAAGCGGUUAGCCUUGGUCGCUGCAACGUAGCCUCACGUGCGGACGGACAGUCAUACGGUGUCUUCACAGGCGUCGUGUUUAACGUUUGCCUGAACAUAGAGAAGUACCCUGUGGUGUGUUUUGGUGGUCACUGCGCUACGCUGCUGGUACUUGAAGCUGAGCAGAGUGGCAUGUCGUUGCACUCUGCUGCUGACUGAACACCUUUCCUCUGCUGUUUGUGCACUUCACUCGUCGGAUGCAUGUGAAUCACCAUGGAAGGCACAACCAUCAUUCUUGUCAGCCUUGCCUCACUUUUCGCACUCUUCAUCUUCUCGUGCUGUUACUGCAAUGCAAAAGCCGCACAACGGUCAUUGAAAGAGCAGCAAAAUGAUGGCACAGAAGUUGCCAUGUACGCAACGGGGCUGCUAAUUAACAUGACAUCUGCGGACCAUUGUGCCGUUGAUGGGAAUUGUGGCGGGGUCGGUGAUGGUGGCGCAUGCGGUGGUGAUGUAUGGGCUGAUGGUGGCAUAUGUGGUGGUUUCUGAAAUGAUGGUUGCUGGUCGUUUCUGAAAUGAUGGUUGCUGAACGAUCUUAGAGAAACACAAAAGAACACACUAAGUAUGCUCUUUAGUGCUAGAAUGUGCUUAUUGCUUGACUCGAUUUUCAAUGCAUAGGCAGCGAGAGGUUGAUUGUUGGUGGAGAAAAUGAAGGGCACAAUAUUUCUUUCCAAAUUUGACACACAUUCUGAAGUGACAUUGUUAUCAGUAUGACGUCAUGGGUUUUAAGGUAUUUACCCAUGCUUGGGCAUUAUUGUUGUAGAAACUCAAGAGAAUGAGUCUCUGGUUUCUUUAAUUUGCAAUAUAACUCAUGUUUAUUGAUAAAUCUGUAACUAGUCCCGAGCAAAUUCUGUUCGAAUCUCAGGAUGAGGAGCUAGCACAGGAACUGCCUUUCAUUUGUUUUUGCAUCUUUUCUGGUUUGCCAAUAUUUCUCUCCCAGCGAGACUGGUAUUCCAGAAAUAAUGAUGAAAUCAAAUAGCAACUUGCUGUCAUUCUGUUAUCCCAGAAGUGUAAUUUACCAAUCCAGCUUGAAAAGGUACUGACAUAUUUUUAAGCUUUCAUUUCCUUGCAUUAAAUAUUGUUAUGAAGGUCCAAACCCUCUAAACUGUAGCAAAAGAUUAUGCAGAUGCAACCCACAUUUGAAUCUGAGAAGCGAACAUUUCGGCAGUUAAAUAAAUGCCGUGCAACUGAUUGUAUUGUGUACAGGGUUUUACAUCAUAGCGAUUACAUGCCUGCCGGUGAAGACGGCAAGGUGCAUAUCCAGUGUCGGCGCACCAACUAGAGCUGGCCCAUCCUGGAGAUAAUGCUACAGUAAACUGCACUUGGUAAAGACCAACCAAGCAGAUGCCCCGAACCCCAAACCAUAGAAAAGUAGGCAUAGAAAGGUUUGUUUUAUUAAAGGAAUUGUGCUCUUGAUGAUGCAGAUAUGUUGCAGUUGGGAUACCUAGGCAUCAUUUGUUUUUAUCACGGUGUAGAACUACAAGCCAGCAGCCGGGACACCUGUAAGGUUAGUAAAGAUGGUCAUGCUGUCCCUAGCACGAGGUAUUCUGCAAGAGAGAAAGCACCCAGCCACAGUUAGAAAAGUCCGGGAAGGUUUGCAAAGAAAGCUUCGCUUUAAAAUGGGCAAGUGUGAGAGCACUCCAAAUAAUUUACUGUAAUGCUUGUUUCUACGGACCCUAUUCAGUUUUACUACCCAGAUGGGGAAUGCAUCGUGAUGUCAUGGCAAACUGGCUUCCUCUGUUCCUGUGAUCGCUGUGGCUUCCACAUGUGAGCCCAGCCAGUGGAAAUCAGUGCAACAGUUUUAUCUGUUGUGAGCAAAAUUGUCAUAACCAUCUUUAUUGCGACACAACGAUGGCAAAUUUUGCUCUGUGUUGCGACAUCAUGAUAAUGCCAUUGAAGCCAAGCCUGUGAUUUCAUGACCAAUUUUAGCAUCAGUUUAAAAUUAUUUAUAAGUGUUGACGGCUUUCAUACCUAGCUGCUAAGUGUCAUCCAUUUGCGUGCGAGAAGCAUGUGGUAGUGCUUGUGCAAUUGGAAAGUGUCUGUUGUCAUUCCUUUAAUUUGACAUUCCCUCUUGGUAUCCCUUUAAAAGGACACUUUAAAGAAAUGACGUUAGAUUGGUUGUUUACACUUGUGCAAUGCUAAAUAGAUGGUCUUGCAGUGAAGGGAGCAUUGCUGAGUUGGAAAACCGUCAAAGGUCAGCAUCAUCUUGCAAUUCAUGCUUCUUAUAAGCUAUGACGUCAUGGAUUUUCACAGUCUGCUUGAGGCUAGUUAAUUUAGCUAUACAGAAGGAUUGUCUUAAUGUAAAGACAACAGAAAAUGUAAAGGGGGCUGACACUGCCUCGAAAUGUUUAUGCCAGCUCCCGGUGAUAUUGUGGAUAUUAUGCCCCAUAUUCUAGAAUGUUCCUCCAUUCAGAAUUCCUACUUGACUCAAAGAAGUGGAUGGCAGUGCUACCUCCAAACUGAAGUGGUCACUGCUCUUUAAUGGCACUCCCAGUUGACUUGUGAACGAAAAUUUUUCACCCAAAUGCUAUCGGUUUCUGCCUGAAUGCACUGGAAUGAAUGUAUGUUUCUCAAGCAACAUCUCGGAGGAAUUAGCGAGAAGCUUUAUUACAUCUUAGCAUAUUCAUCAGUCGAGAGGUGCCGCUGUGCUCCACCUGAAGAGCUUUGAGUCGAGUCUCAUUUGGGAAUGCAUAGGUUGAAGUGUCUUCUCAAGGCUAAGUAAUCAAUUUUCACAUGCAUCACAUUUGUUAAGUGUGAAAGGACUCAAGCUGACAGCAUUUUGGACAUCCUCCUCUGCAGUAAAACUUGAAAGUGUGUCAAAAUAUGAUGAAAUUGAUGACUUCGCAUCACCACCGUGGUGUGGAUGGUGCUGAAAAUGUAAUUUCAGUUGCAGAGUUCUGCCUUCAUUUUAUUCGCUAAUGACCAACAUUUUUCUGCCAAGGAGAAAACCAUAGAACUUUGACAGAAUUCUGUAUCACUCUAGACAUUAGUGUUUGUCCUUAGUGACCCUUUCAGGCAUGUUGAGGCAUUUGCAUACACAGCAUUUGUUCAGGUUUAACUGCUUAUCUAGUGAUGUUUCUGAGGCAGUGUCUGCUUCUUUGCAUUGCACCAUGAACUGAAACGCAUGAAAUUUCUAUAAAGAUAAAGCUUUUGUUGAACUACCUGCAUUAAUUAAAAUGUGUUUGUUUCUUCAUUACUCUGUCAAAAAGUAACUCUUAUUGAUAUUUUGUGGCCAUUGUGUCCUAGUCAUAUUUGCAUCACAGUAACAUUGAAGCUGGCAAUCUGCUGUGCCUGUAGAGUUUUAGGAAUUUGUAAAUUGUUAAACGUAUGUUUCAAAGCUGGAGCAAGGGGGAAGUUCAUUUGAGAUGAAUUUUCCCAUUGUAGUUUCAGUGUGAGAUUGGUGAGAGGUGCAUUAGUGCAUAAUAUUUCUUCCAAUUCCAUUUUUUUUCUGUGCUUCUUGCAUUGCAUGUGCUUGUAAGUUUUCUGUAACAUUUUAUGCUUUCUGAAUUCUGAAAGGUUGUUGAAAGCCUCAUAUUAAAGCAGAUCCAGCACCUAUCAUAUGAAGAAAUAUGUUUGUCAUAAUAAAAGAGAUCUUCUCAGGAAAUCUAGCAGUUUCCUAUAGCACCUGCAACUUAGGUAGCAGUUAUAAGUAGCUUGAUAUGUGCAAACUUGGGCUGGUGUAUUAAAUCACUUUUUUAUCAUAAGAGUUGAAGGCUAUAGUUAUCCUUUAUGUAGCACAUCACAAUAAACAUUACAUUCAGCCUUGUGUACAUAUAAAUGCACUAUACCAGACCUAUGCUCAGUUCACUAUAGGCACAGCAUCUGCAUGCUUGACUUUCUCUUUGAGUGCCUUUUGUAACCACAUCUUGCGUUGUACUU
Long non-coding RNA from Dermacentor andersoni, 4256 nucleotides. RefSeq lists it as uncharacterized. NCBI's taxonomy places the organism in Eukaryota, Metazoa, Arthropoda, Arachnida, Ixodida, Ixodidae. The record is from RefSeq and is a predicted model, not a curated record.